CUGGUCCUUCCAUAAGAUUCUGUCUAGACCUAAGAGGAGACAUCUGAGGGCAUCACUCUCCCUGCCUGCAUCCCCUACCACACAGAGGAAGACGCUCUGUAGUAGGAAAGAAUAAGGCCAUCACAUGGAGGCAGAGAAGUUACCGGGAGAAAGAGAGAGGCUCAACAUCACUUAAAUCACUGAAUCUGUUGGCCUCUGAGCCAGCGAAUAAAUAGGCUCUCGCCCUGGACUUCCUGGUUAUGCAACCAAUAAAGUUUCUUAGAGCUG
Molecule: long non-coding RNA, 267 nt
Filed under: Homo sapiens (human)
Lineage: Eukaryota; Metazoa; Chordata; Mammalia; Primates; Hominidae
Description: HSALNT0048721
Source: RNAcentral